RNAcentral lists this long non-coding RNA (1191 nucleotides) under Marmota monax (woodchuck). The record is from RNAcentral. Lineage: Eukaryota; Metazoa; Chordata; Mammalia; Rodentia; Sciuridae.
UAAAUGUCAGUGCUAGCACCUUGUAUAGAAUUGUGUUUGAUGCAGAAAGCUCUGGAACUUGAAUUCAUGUUUAAACCUUUUUGCAGAAAAUACCAGGACAGCUUCCAGUUCUGGAAGGGAAAAUCUUUGGUUCUGUGAAUCCAGCACUUCAUGCUUUUGUAAAUCAACCUAAGCAGGGUGCUGAGACUGUUGAAGAACUCCUAGAGGUGGCCAAAGACUCAAUUCCCCAAAGUCACUGGAAAAGGACCCCAGUGAUCCUGAAGGCAACAACAGAUCUGUGCUUACUGCCCAAACAGAAAGUCCAGGCUCUGCUCUUGGGAGAAGAUCUUCAAGAAGUCACCUUUCCCAGUCCCAGAUGACAUUGGUAGCAUCAUGGAUGGAUUAUGAAGGCAUAUUGGCUUGGGUUACUGUGAGUUUCCUAACAGGUAAGCUACAUGGCCAUAGUCAGGAGACCGUCAGGACUCUGGACCUUAGAGGGCCUCCACCCAAAUCAUGUUCCUGCUGUAGUUUGAGAAAACCCUGGAAUAAACCCCUAAGGAAAACCUCACUUCCUCUGAGAAGAUCUAUACACAUAGUUACUUGGGAUUUGGAUUGAAAGCUGCAGGACUAGCAACCCUGGGAGCCCCGCAAACAGAAAGGAUUGAUGGAUACAUAUUCCAAAGUGCCUGUCUACCAAGAUGUUGGAAGCAGAAUGGAUCUUUGUGGGUGUGAAAUGCCAGUUUGGUGGCAACUGAGAAGGAGAGAUGUAGCCCUGCUACAAUGAAGUGCUGGGGGUGGUGUAAGGAAAGCUUCAUCAGCCAGAGGAGAUCCAAGGAGGCUCCUUCUAUGCUUUCUCUGACCAAGUGGUUGAAACACACAUGCUUGAUUAUGAAAAAGGAGGGUGUUUUAAAAGUUGAAGACUUUGAAGGAAAAGCCAGGGAAGUGUGUGAUAACUUGGAGAACUUCACCUCAGGAAGUCCUUUCCUAUGCAUGGAGCUCAUACAUCACUGUCCUGCUAAAAGAAGGCUUUGGCUUUGCAGAUAGCACCCUCUUACAGCUCACCAAGAAAGUGAGCAACAUGGAGACAGACUGGGCCUAGGGGGCCACCUUUCCCCUGUUGCAGUCUGUGGGCAUCUCCCACUGAGGCCAAGCACUUCCUCUGAGGUCUGCAUUCACCAACAACCUUUUUAAGGGGAGAAGAAGAAAAGACUU